UACGUAGGGGGCAAGCGUUGUCCGGAAUCAUUGGGCGUAAAGAGCGCGUAGGCGGUCCAGUAAGUCCGCUCUGAAAGUCCGGGGCUCAACCCCGGGAGGCGGGCGGAUACUGCUGGGCUAGAGUCCGGAAGAGGCGAGUGGAAUUCCUGGUGUAGCGGUGAAAUGCGCAGAUAUCAGGAGGAACACCAAUGGCGAAGGCAGCUCGCUGGGACGGUACUGACGCUGAGGCGCGAAAGCUAGGGGAGCGAACGGG
This 253-nucleotide ribosomal RNA is filed under the name uncultured bacterium. RNAcentral describes it as "partial 16S ribosomal RNA". It matches the Rfam family "Bacterial small subunit ribosomal RNA", at positions 524 to 776 of the family's 1533-position model. The record is from RNAcentral.